RNAcentral lists this ribosomal RNA (498 nucleotides) under Enterococcus sp. enrichment culture. Its description in RNAcentral is "bacterial SSU rRNA". It matches the Rfam family "Bacterial small subunit ribosomal RNA", at positions 968 to 1467 of the family's 1533-position model. Lineage: Bacteria; Bacillati; Bacillota; Bacilli; Lactobacillales; Enterococcaceae. The record is from RNAcentral.
ACCUUACCAGGUCUUGGCAUCCUUUGACCACUCUAGAGAUAGAGCUUCCCCUUCGGGAGCAAAGUGACCGGUGGUGCCUGGUUGUCUUCAGCCCGGGUCGUAAGAUGUUGGGUUAAGUCCCGCAACGAGCGCAACCCUUAUUGUUAGUUGCCAUCAUUCAGUUGGCCACUCUAGCAAGCCUGCCGGUGCCAAACCGGAGGAAGGUGGGGAUGACGUCAAAUCAUCAUGCCCCUUAUGACUUGGGCUACACACGUGCUACAAUGGGAAGUACAACGAGUUGCGAAGUCGCGAGGUUAAGCUAAUCUCUUAAAGCUUCUCUCAGUUCGGAUUGCAGGCUGCAACUCGCCUGCAUGAAGCCGGAAUCGCUAGUAAUCGCGGAUCAGCACGCCGCGGUGAAUACGUUCCCGGCCCUUGUCCCCCCCGCCGGUCCCACCACGAGAGUUUGUACCACCCGAAGUCGUUGAGGUAACCUUUUGGAGCCAGCCGCCUAAGGUGGAU